AUGGAGGCUCCCGCCCUGUCCUUCACGGAGGAGGACUUGACUGAAGUGAAGAAGGACGCUUUAGAGAAUUUACGUGUUUACCUGUGUGAGAAAAUCAUAGCUGAGAGAAAGUUUGAUCAUCUACGUGCAAAAAAAAAAAAAAAAAAAAAAAAAACUAAGUAGAGAAGACACGGAAGAAAUGUCUUUCCGAACUUCAAGUAGCAAACGGGCUGGGAAGUUGUUAGACUACUUACAGGAGAACCCCAGGGGCCUGGACACCCUUGUGGAAUCCAUCCGCAGGGAGAAAACACAGAACUUCCUGAUUCAGAAGAUAACGGACGAGGUGCUCAAGCUUCGGAACAUAAAACUGGAGCACCUCAAAGGCCUGAAGUGCAGCAGCUGUGAACCCUUUGCAGCUGGAGCCACCAACAACCUCUCUAGGUGCAAUUCAGAUGAGAGCAAUCUCUUUGAGAAACAGAGAGCAUCCACUGUCAUGUACCACCCAGAGGGAGAGUCCAGCACUGCCCCCUUCUUCUCUACGGAGUCGUCCCUGAACUUGCCAGUCCUGGAAGUUGGCAGAACUGAAAACAGCAGCUUCUCUUCAGCCACUCUUCCUCGACCUGGGGACCCUGGGGCACGCCCUUUACCCCCAGACCUUCGGUUGGAAGAGGGGGGAAGUUGUGGAAACUCAAGUGAGAUGUUUCUCCCCUUGCGGUCACGGGCUCUUUCACGCCAAUGAUACAUCACCACCU
Mus pahari (shrew mouse) is the source of this 731-nucleotide RNA transcript. It is a transcript of the gene named B-cell lymphoma/leukemia 10 pseudogene, with no coding region annotated. The record is from RefSeq and is a predicted model, not a curated record. The transcript has a single exon. NCBI's taxonomy places the organism in Eukaryota, Metazoa, Chordata, Mammalia, Rodentia, Muridae.